UUACUGUAUAUCACCCAGUAUAAUACUGUAAACUAUUUAUACAGUACAUAACUGUAAUUCGCGUUGCAUUUUGGGAAUUUUCGGUGACAUCAUACAUCAUAUACAGUAAUCUACUUUAUUUUUGAAAAUUGCUGUAUGCUACUGUAUAUUUUCUAACAGUUUUUUGGCGGUAUUUUCCUUAUUCACACAAAUCCUUAUAUUAUUUUUCUCAAAAUCAUCAUUUUUGACAAUUGUAUACACACAGGCGUUGACUUAUUUUAGCUAAGGAACCAUGUAGCAGCACAGGUGUUCAGAGGACCGAUUUCAGGUGUGCACAUAAACUGAAGAGUUUUCAAACAAGCCUUUCCCUGGGACAGCGGCGCUUUUCAGUUGAAGAUACACGAGAGGAGAGACUGAAAAAAGACCAGCAAGGUAAAAUAAUCUAUAUAAGUUAUUUAUUAUCAGACCCGCGGUUGUUGUUUACACGAACGGGACAUUUUAAAACCGUUAACCGGACGCGUUGCUUAACGUAUAACGGUAAUAUUAGUUUGCAAAGUCAGUAUAAACCAAAUUAAUAAAUCAUACUAUGUGUAUGCAAGCCUACGAGCACACGCGAUGCGUUAAAUUACACGCUAGUGUUUUCCUUUUAUAAAACUAUUAUGAAGAAAUGCUUAACGUAGCCUAAUGUAUACGUCAAUGAUAUGAAAAGAUCAGAUUUAACGUUACCUGAGAGAAUAAUUUAUUAAUAUAAAAGCAUAUUUAACAAAGUACCCUAAAUUACAUGAAGCUGGGAGGAAAACUCUAAAUGUGUAAGUUACCACGUUGUGUUUAUAUUCUCAUCCGCUUGGCUUUACCUGUUACAUAAAUUAUGCGUUAUUAAUAAGGUGUAUAACUAAAUUUUAUCUUUCAAAUUCGUUAAACUACGUUAAGCAUUUUAGCGUAUGUUAUGUGUGUGUGGUGGCCAAUCGGAAAAACAUUAUAUUUUAAAUGUGAAUAUGUUUAAACAUAAAGGCUGAAACCUAAUUUGCAUAAAAUAAAGUUUUAAAAUGUGUUUUUGUUUUGUAUUAAAUUGCUUUUGAGACCAAGGUAGCUGUACAGUAAAUAUUCAGCCUCGAUCAGAAAACCACGUCCCACUGUCAUAACACACAGACCUGUGGCCAUGUGUAGUGAUUUGAGUAGUGUACAUCUACUCUGGUUAUCAUUUCAAAACAGUAUUUACUGAAAAAUAUGAGUGUUUAGCAUCAUGUAUUAAAUGUGUUAAAUAUGUCCUUUUUUUCCCUGCCUUUAUUCUGCUGUCUAAAAUUCUUUGGGAGGAUAAAUGAAGGAGGAUGUAACAAAAUACACUGCAAGAACUGGAGUGAGGAUGAAGAGGACAACAGAAUAUCCAUCCUUUCUUCACCACCUCACAGAGUUUGAGUGAAACAACUUGUAUUAGGACUCACAGGAUUAUUUUAUAACAAGACUGAUUAUUUUAUACCAGAAGUAUGGUAUUUUUUUGAAGCUACUGUAUUAUUUCUUAUGACAAUUCAUUUUGAUGUGCAUUCAGAACUGUAAGUUGUGGUAGUGGAUCAUGAUCACCUCUCUAGCUUCAAAAGUAGGAUGCAGAAUGUAUAACACCAAAUCAUUAUAGCAUAACUCCAUGUAACUUGACAUAAUUUAAA
Paramisgurnus dabryanus is the source of this 1640-nucleotide non-coding RNA. The record is from RefSeq and is a predicted model, not a curated record. NCBI's taxonomy places the organism in Eukaryota, Metazoa, Chordata, Actinopteri, Cypriniformes, Cobitidae.